CGGUACGGGUGAGUAACGCGUGGGUCAUCUGCCCUCGGGUGGGGAAGUAACUAAUCGAAAGGUUAGCUAAUACCGCAUAACACAGUGAUGUCAAAGCAGCAAUGUGCCUGAGGAGGAGCCUGCGUCUGAUUAGGUAGUUGGUGGGGUAAUGGCCUACCAAGCCUGCGAUCAGUAGCUGGUCUGAGAGGACGGCCAGCCACAAUGGCACUGAAACACGGGCCAU
RNAcentral lists this ribosomal RNA (223 nucleotides) under uncultured bacterium. Its description in RNAcentral is "partial 16S ribosomal RNA". It matches the Rfam family "Bacterial small subunit ribosomal RNA", at positions 100 to 334 of the family's 1533-position model. The record is from RNAcentral.